UGUAACUGUUGAUGAAAUUUCAGAAGAAGGGACAGAAUUCAUAAACCUGUCCAGUUUAAGAGAUGUUCAUUUGAGUCAUGUGAAAACCACUAUUAGUAAAAAGACAUCUCAUAAUCAGUAGGAUGUAUAAUGAGGUUCAGGGAAGAGUCAUAUUGAAGGUGAUGGGAUCUAUUGUGGAACAAGCUCACUGCUAGUCCAGGAAGCCAAAGGAUGUGAGAGAGUGCCCAUGAACUCUAUGCUGGCAAGAGAUGAUAGAGGGAAUAGAUGGCUGCAGUUCUUGCUGAACUCACGGGGGUGAAGGACUGAGCAGGGAACAUCCCUGUGGUCAGGGAGAGUAGAAAGGCAGGUCAGGUUUUCUCUGCUCAGCUAGGACCUGUUUCCAGCUGCCCUCUCUCUGCCUCUCUCCCCAUGCUCCUUCUUUCAUUUUGUUACACACAGUCAACUUCUUUUAUAUCUUCCCCAUAUAUAGAAAUGAGUUUUUUUUUAACUCAAUAGGACAAGAAUGGACAAUGUAGUUACUCUAGGAACCUGGGUUUGGGAUUGCCAAAGCAGCAGAGACCAAUACUUUGGUUCCAAACACAAAGUCUGUGUAGGAGCCACAUGUAGGUGGAAGUGGAUGCAUAUAUGCAGGGGAAGCUUUCUAUGGCUGCCAUCACUCCAGCAGAGCAACCAGAGACCAUCAGAACUGAGAGAAAUAUCACCCAAUUAUUGUCAUGCUUCAUUAGGCUUCACAUCACCAUUUUGCAGCAACUAGAAUAGCAAUCGGUAUUUCUGCUUGGGACAACAUUCUCCUUGUGUUCAUCACCAAGCUUCUGACCAGGAAGUGGCAUCAUAGAGGUACAAUGUGAUCAGCUGCCUCAAGCUCCCUGCCUUUCCUCCCACAAUGGGCUCUACCUUCAAACUGUGAGCUGAAAUAAAUCCUUCUUCUUUUCAGUAAGCUA
Long non-coding RNA from Mus musculus (house mouse), 941 nucleotides. RefSeq annotates it as predicted gene, 46073. The transcript is spliced from 2 exons. The record is from RefSeq and is a predicted model, not a curated record. Lineage: Eukaryota; Metazoa; Chordata; Mammalia; Rodentia; Muridae.